Molecule: ribosomal RNA, 16 nt
Filed under: Scleroderma sp. 2-KBS-2009b
Lineage: Eukaryota; Fungi; Basidiomycota; Agaricomycetes; Boletales; Sclerodermataceae
Description: partial 18S ribosomal RNA
Source: RNAcentral
GGUUCGAUAAUGAUCC